GGCAUGCUGGCGGCGGAAGGAUGCUGCUGCCCCUGCUCCUGCUGGGUGCCCUCACGGCACUCCUCCUGGACCCAGGGGACAGAGUGCAGGCCUGGAGCUGGGUCCGCUUCUGCUACCACUGCGACCACUUCGACGGCUUCCGGUGCCGCGGGGGCAUGAAGAGCUGCUGGACCGCUGC
Long non-coding RNA from Tupaia belangeri chinensis (Chinese tree shrew), 178 nucleotides. RefSeq lists it as uncharacterized. The transcript is spliced from 3 exons. The record is from RefSeq and is a predicted model, not a curated record. Lineage: Eukaryota; Metazoa; Chordata; Mammalia; Scandentia; Tupaiidae.